AUCUGUUAAAACCCUGCUCUCGACCAAACCUCACACUUUGCUUUUUUCCCCCCUCAAAAUUCUUAGUAGGAACAAAAAAUAAAAGAUACAUUGUCAUUAGGCUUUGAAUUGAGAACAUCAGAAACUGUAACUUUCUUCCCCCAUUGGUUGCAAGCAGAUCUGAACUUAAAUUUAAGUUCUCUCACCUAUGGCCGACCACCUCGGGUUUGUAGUUUCGCAUAAUUAGCCACAAGAGGGAGCUGAUGAUCACCUAUUACAAGCCUUUAUUUAACACAACAAAUAUACCCCGUGUCCCAAUGUGCAUACUUUCCACCCUAUCUGCCCUAAAUAGUAUUACUAAUUACUAAUAUUACAUAGAAUUUAGGAUGCAUUGGGAUGCAGGCAUGGACUUUUGCUUGAGUAUGAAAAUGUUAAUGUAAUAAUAAAGUGAAGUGCUCCACGAGGCGGCAGAAGCACUUUCAGAGACUUCGGAUCCUCGACAACAUGAAACUGAUCAAAAGAUGUAGAACCCUCGGAAGAAAACAACAUUUCACAUCAAUAGUAGAGGCUGUGGACAGACAAUGACUUUAGAGACGGACAUCUGCUCAAGGACAGAAACAUAACCCCUGCUGGACAUGGUGCUGGAGCUCAGGGGGGGACCUGAAUCAUCCCCACCUCUUCAUUCACACAACACUCACUCAUAUCACAGAGACCUGGCUGGGAUUGAACCAGCAACCUCUGAACCGUGAGGCAGCGCUCUUAUCUGUGAGCCACAGAUCUCUUGCUUGUGCUGGAAUUUAUAUUUCACUGUUCACCUGCAUGUGAUUCUACAAUAAACCAGUUAAAGCUCUUACAGAGUCUCUCUACAUGUGUGAGAUGGGAUCUGAACCCAUGCCUCUAUCACCGAUAACAUGUUUAGCCACUAACCCAUCAUGGCUUUCACAUUGAAGGCUUGUGUUUGUGGCACUUUGUUGGAUAUAUUAGCAUCAGUAUAAUGUAAGCAAUAGUGGGAUUUGAACUCAUAACUCCAUAAUUCAAACACAUCAGGUUAUCCACUGAGCCAUUGAGUCUGGCAGUUGUUUUCCAUUUUAAUAAGUUGAUUAUGUGCUUAGCCACAACGCGGCUUUAAUUGUUUUAAACACUCAUUUCACAUUAUAUCAUAUCACUUUGUUUCAUUUGCAAACUUUACUUUAAGAUGACACAGCGUGGCUGGUUAAAUUGUGUGUAGUGUACUUUGCCAAUUUUCUU
Cyprinus carpio (common carp) is the source of this 1227-nucleotide long non-coding RNA. RefSeq lists it as uncharacterized. NCBI's taxonomy places the organism in Eukaryota, Metazoa, Chordata, Actinopteri, Cypriniformes, Cyprinidae. The record is from RefSeq and is a predicted model, not a curated record.